CUGGAGAUAUGGAAGAGCUGUGUUGGGUAUAAGUAACAGGCUUUUCUUUAUCUUCUAUG
This 59-nucleotide microRNA precursor is filed under the name Homo sapiens (human). RNAcentral's name for it is "Hsa-Mir-1270_pre stem-loop". Lineage: Eukaryota; Metazoa; Chordata; Mammalia; Primates; Hominidae. The record is from RNAcentral.